CCUACGGUGGGCAGCAGUGGGGAAUAUUGGGCAAUGGGCGCAAGCCUGCCCACGCAACGCCGCUGGAAGGAAGAAGGCUUUCGGGUUGUAAACUUCUUUUCUCAGGGACGAAGAAAGUGACGGUACCUGAGAAAUAAGCCACGGCUAACUACGUGCCAGCAGCCGCGGUAAUACGUAGGUGGCAAGCGUUAUCCGGAUUUAUUGGGGGUAAAGGGCGUGUAGGCGGGAGCGCAAGUCAGAUGUGAAAACUCAGGGCUCAACCCUGAGCCUGCAUUUGAAACUGUGUUUCUUGAGUGCUGGAGAGGCAAUCGGAAUUCCGUGUGUAGCGGUGAAAUGCGUAGAUAUACGGAGGAACACCAGUGGCGAAGGCGGAUUGCUGGACAGUAACUGACGCUGAGGCGCGAAAGCGUGGGGAGCAAACAGGAUUAGAUACCCCAGUAGUC
Molecule: ribosomal RNA, 443 nt
Filed under: uncultured bacterium
Lineage: Bacteria
Description: partial 16S ribosomal RNA
Rfam family: Bacterial small subunit ribosomal RNA
Source: RNAcentral